AGGCUUCGGCCUUAGUGGCGCACGGGUGCGUAACGCGUGGGAAUCUGCCCCUGGGUACGGAAUAACAGUUAGAAAUGACUGCUAAUACCGUAUGAUGACGUAAGUCCAAAGAUUUAUCGCCCAGGGAUGAGCCCGCGUAGGAUUAGCUAGUUGGUGGGGUAAAGGCCUACCAAGGCGACGAUCCUUAGCUGGUCUGAGAGGAUGAUCAGCCACACUGGGACUGAGACACGGCCCAGACUCCUACGGGAGGCAGCAGUGGGGAAUAUUGGACAAUGGGCGAAAGCCUGAUCCAGCAAUGCCGCGUGAGUGAUGAAGGCCUUAGGGUUGUAAAGCUCUUUUACCCGGGAAGAUAAUGACUGUACCGGGAGAAUAAGCCCCGGCUAACUCCGUGCCAGCAGCCGCGGUAAUACGGAGGGGGCUAGCGUUGUUCGGAAUUACUGGGCGUAAAGCGCACGUAGGCGGCUUGGUAAGUUAGAGGUGAAAGCCUGGAGCUCAACUCCAGAAUUGCCUUUAAGACUGCCGAGCUUGAAUCGCGGAGAGGUGAGUGGAAUUCCGAGUGUAGAGGUGAAAUUCGUAGAUAUUCGGAAGAACACCAGUGGCGAAGGCGGCUCACUGGACGCGUAUGACGCUG
Molecule: ribosomal RNA, 631 nt
Filed under: Sphingomonas sp.
Lineage: Bacteria; Pseudomonadati; Pseudomonadota; Alphaproteobacteria; Sphingomonadales; Sphingomonadaceae
Description: bacterial SSU rRNA
Rfam family: Bacterial small subunit ribosomal RNA
Source: RNAcentral